GAAUUUUCAUCAAGAAAAGAUUCCAGUUGACUUUUUAAGACCGAAAUAUGGAUUUCUCAACAAAAGAUUAAUUCCGUUGAAAAAAAAGGAAAUUUCUAAUCCAAAAAGGACGAAAGACCACACCAGCUCCGCCCAAAAGGCCGACGACCACUUGGCCAGCCUCACACUACCCUUACUAUCCAAAAAGGACCGAGAGGCCUCCCGUGAGAGAGGAAAAAAUCGAAAGGCCAGAGGAGAAGCUGCGCAGUCACAGUUCAGUCCCAGCCCUUGGAGUCAUCAACGCCACUCUCAGGCAACAAUGUGUCUAACUGUCUGAACUCCUUGGUGAGAACAAAUACUAUCGUAAACAGAGGAUUAUGGAAACACUCAGGGAUCAACUAAGACGAUUGGUGGAGCUGAAUGUGUAUUGCAUACUUGAAUUUAGUUAACUUGUUUUGAGCUAAAUGUCAACAUAAUCGGUAUUAGCAAGUCACAUUUCGACUGCUCUAUACAGUAUGGAACCAAGAUCGGAUGAUUUGAUAUAAGAGAUCUGUACGGAAAGUAUCCGAUCUUGUCGUGUACCAGGAUUGAGAUUUAAUUCUAGUGGAUAUUUCAAUUUAAGAAAGAACCAAAAAUCACAGGGAGCGGGUUCAGGCCUGUAUGGGGACUACCGAAGCAGUGUGGAAGGUGCUUGUGCAAUUUCUGGUGCUUCUCCAGAAAUUGCUGAAUAAGCUGCGAUCAAUUAGCCGGAGUUCCGUGUAUGGAAUCAAGUGUAUAUUUAUCGAUUGUCACAGUUAAAAUUUUUGU
This is a long non-coding RNA of Belonocnema kinseyi, 786 nucleotides long. RefSeq lists it as uncharacterized. Lineage: Eukaryota; Metazoa; Arthropoda; Insecta; Hymenoptera; Cynipidae. The transcript is spliced from 3 exons. The record is from RefSeq and is a predicted model, not a curated record.